Ipomoea nil (Japanese morning glory) is the source of this 74-nucleotide transfer RNA. It matches the Rfam family "tRNA". From Rfam's summary of the family: Transfer RNA (tRNA) molecules are approximately 80 nucleotides in length. Their secondary structure includes four short double-helical elements and three loops (D, anti-codon, and T loops). The record is from Rfam. NCBI's taxonomy places the organism in Eukaryota, Viridiplantae, Streptophyta, Magnoliopsida, Solanales, Convolvulaceae.
GCUCUAGUAGCUCAGUUGGUUAGAGCACCCGUUUAGUAAGUGGGAGGUCUUGAGUAGAACUCUCAAUAAGAGCA